AAGCACGGCUUCGCAGCGCACAGACGAGGAGCUUGCUCCUGAUGAUGCUGCGGGGAAAGUCCCCGUGCCUUUGGGCAGAGAGUGCCAGCGGGAGACCGCAAGGCUUUGGUCUCGGUGCCAGCAGCGAAGCACUCAGCGGAGCUUUGGUGCAGAGGCUUUGGCCAGUUGCAGCAGCACAGGCAUGCCGUGAGCGCUCAUUGAGAGCGCCAACUGAACGGGGCUCACU
This 226-nucleotide RNase MRP RNA is filed under the name Pelagodinium bei. Its description in RNAcentral is "Pelagodinium beii partial RNase MRP". It matches the Rfam family "RNase MRP". From Rfam's summary of the family: RNase MRP is an enzymatically active ribonucleoprotein with two distinct roles in eukaryotes. The record is from RNAcentral. Lineage: Eukaryota; Dinophyceae; Suessiales; Suessiaceae.